This 440-nucleotide ribosomal RNA is filed under the name uncultured bacterium. Its description in RNAcentral is "partial 16S ribosomal RNA". It matches the Rfam family "Bacterial small subunit ribosomal RNA", at positions 338 to 795 of the family's 1533-position model. The record is from RNAcentral.
CCUACGGGAGGCAGCAGAGGGGAAUAUUGCACAAUGGGGGAAACCCUGAUGCAGCGACGCCGCGUGAGUGAAGAAGGAAUUCGUUAUGUAAAGCUCUAUCAGCAGGGAAGAAAAUGACGGUACCUGAGUAAGAAGCCCCGGCUAACUACGUGCCAGCAGCCGCGGUAAUACGUAGGGGGAAAGCGUUAUCCGGAUUUACUGGGUGUAAAGGGAGCGUAGACGGCAGUGCAAGUCUGGAGUGAAAGGCGGGGGCUCAACCCCCGGACUGCACUGGAAACUGUACGGCUUGAGUGCAGGAGAGGUAAGUGGAAUUCCUAGUGUAGCGGUGAAAUGCGUAGAUAUUAGGAGGAACACCAGUGGCGAAGGCGGCUUACUGGACUGUAACUGACGUUGAGGCUCGAAAGCGUGGGGAGCAAACAGGAUUAGAUACCCUGGUAGUC